GAGAUGACUGCUAGGCGUUGCCGGCCAGCUUCUCCCGCAGGGCGGCGAGUUGGGCGUCGCUGGCGAGCGUGCCGCCGGUCGACUCCCC
This 88-nucleotide transfer RNA is filed under the name Mycolicibacterium litorale. RNAcentral describes it as "tRNA-Glu". Lineage: Bacteria; Bacillati; Actinomycetota; Actinomycetes; Mycobacteriales; Mycobacteriaceae. The record is from RNAcentral.